GAUGAACGCUGGCGGCGUGCUUAACACAUGCAAGUCGAACGAGAAAUGGAGACGGAAACCUUCGGGCGGAAGGCUUCAUUUCGAGUGGCGGACGGGUGAGUAACGCGUGGGUAACCUGCCUCAUACAGGGGGAUAACAGUUGGAAACGACUGUUAAUACCGCAUAAGACCACAGCACCGCAUGGUGCGGGGGUAAAAACUCCGGUGGUAUGAGAUGGACCCGCGUUCGAUUAGCCAGUUGGCGGGGUAACGGCCCACCAAAGCGACGAUCGAUAGCCGAUCUGAGAGGAUGACCGGCGACAAUGGGACUGAGACACGGCCCAAACUCCUACGGGAGGCAGCAGUGGGGAAUAUUGCACAAUGGGGUAAACACUGAUGCAGCGACGCCGCGUGAGUGAAGAAGUACUUCGGUAUGUAAAGCUCUAUCAGCAGAGAAGAAAAUGACGGUACCUGAGUAAGAAGCCCCGGCUAACUACGUG
RNAcentral lists this ribosomal RNA (478 nucleotides) under uncultured bacterium. RNAcentral's name for it is "partial 16S ribosomal RNA". It matches the Rfam family "Bacterial small subunit ribosomal RNA", at positions 28 to 507 of the family's 1533-position model. The record is from RNAcentral.